GAGGGGAGGACGCCGAGGCCGCGAGCCCCGCGGCCGCCUGAGCUCAGCGCCGCUCCUGGGGAGGACGCAGGGGUCCGGGGAGCUUGUACUGUCCCUAGGUCCUUACGCUAGGAGUAAAAAAACCAAGGAGUGAAUUGGAGUGGAUAAGCCGCAAGACGUUCUGCGAGUAGUGAUUUUUAAAUCAGCUACUCACUACAGCCACCGCUUACCUCCUUGGUCCAAGACGCCCUUGUCUACCCUGUGGAUGAGCUGUGGUUUUUUCUGCCUGCUUUCCUCGCUUCCACAGCUGCCCCUCUUUAGCAUAUUCUCAACACAGCAGCUCAGAGUAAUUCUGGUAAAACGUGAAUAACAAAGGAUACAACGGACGUUUUUUUGAUUUGAUGGAUACGUUUAUUGAGUGUGUGGAUGGUUUCCUGGCUGUAUGCAUAUGUCAAAACAUCACAUGGUUCACUUUAAAUAGGUGCAGUUUAUUGUAUGCAGGUUUACCUUAAGAAAACUAUUAAAAAUAAAAUUUAAAAA
Molecule: non-coding RNA, 519 nt
Organism: Miniopterus natalensis
Lineage: Eukaryota; Metazoa; Chordata; Mammalia; Chiroptera; Miniopteridae
Source: RefSeq, a predicted model, not a curated record